This 586-nucleotide ribosomal RNA is filed under the name uncultured fungus. RNAcentral's name for it is "eukaryotic LSU rRNA". The stretch from base 211 to 364 matches the Rfam family "5.8S ribosomal RNA". Lineage: Eukaryota; Fungi. The record is from RNAcentral.
AGUCGUAACAAGGUCUCCGUAGGUGAACCUGCGGAGGGAUCAUUACACAAAUAUGAAGGCGGGCUGGAACCUCUCGGGGUUACAGCCUUGCUGAAUUAUUCACCCUUGUCUUUUGCGUACUUCUUGUUUCCUUGGUGGGUUCGCCCACCACUAGGACAAUCAUAAACCUUUUGUAAUUGCAAUCAGCGUCAGUAACAAAUUAAUAAUUACAACUUUCAACAACGGAUCUCUUGGUUCUGGCAUCGAUGAAGAACGCAGCGAAAUGCGAUAAGUAGUGUGAAUUGCAGAAUUCAGUGAAUCAUCGAAUCUUUGCACGCACAUUGCGCCCUUUGGUAUUCCAAAGGGCAUGCCUGUUCGAGCGUCAUUUGUACCCUCAAGCUUUGCUUGGUGUUGGGCGUCUUGUCUCUAGCUUUGCUGGAGACUCGCCUUAAAGUAAUUGGCAGCCGGCCUACUGGUUUCGGAGCGCAGCACAAGUCGCACUCUCUAUCAGCAAAGGUCUAGCAUCCAUUAAGCCUUUUUUUUCAACUUUUGACCUCGGAUCAGGUAGGGAUACCCGCUGAACUUAAGCAUAUCAAUGUAAAAGUCG